RNAcentral lists this ribosomal RNA (490 nucleotides) under uncultured bacterium. RNAcentral describes it as "partial 16S ribosomal RNA". It matches the Rfam family "Bacterial small subunit ribosomal RNA", at positions 28 to 507 of the family's 1533-position model. The record is from RNAcentral.
GAUGAACGCUAGCGAUAGGCUUAACACAUGCAAGUCGAGGGGCAGCAUGGUCUUAGCUUGCUAAGACUGAUGGCGACCGGCGCACGGGUGCGUAACGCGUAUGCAACUUGCCUCACAGAGGGGGAUAACCCGUCGAAAGACGGACUAAUACCGCGUACACUUGGGAUAGGGCAUCCUGACCCAAGGAAAUGAAAUUCGCUGUGAGAUAGGCAUGCGUCCCAUUAGCUAGUUGGUGAGGUAACGGCUCACCAAGGCGACGAUGGGGAGGGGAACUGAGAGGUUGAACCCCCACACUGGUACUGAGACACGGACCAGACUCCUACGGGAGGCAGCAGUGAGGAAUAUUGGUCAAUGGGCGAGAGCCUGAACCAGCCAAGUCGCGUGAAGGAUGACUGUCUUAUGGAUUGUAAACUUCUUUUAUACGGGAAUAACAAGAGUCACGUGUGGCUCCCUGCAUGUACCGUAUGAAUAAGCAUCGGCUAACUCCGUG